This 88-nucleotide transfer RNA is filed under the name Candidatus Peribacteria bacterium. RNAcentral's name for it is "tRNA-Leu". It matches the Rfam family "tRNA". Rfam says of the family: Transfer RNA (tRNA) molecules are approximately 80 nucleotides in length. Their secondary structure includes four short double-helical elements and three loops (D, anti-codon, and T loops). The record is from RNAcentral. Lineage: Bacteria; Candidatus Peregrinibacteriota; Candidatus Peribacteria.
GCCGAGGUGGCGGAAUGGUAGACGCGAGGGACUUAAAAUCCCUUAUCCAUACCCGGAUGUGUGGGUUCAAUUCCCACCCUCGGCACCA